UGCCUACGGGGGCAGCAGUGGGGAAUAUUGCACAAUGGGGGAAACCCUGAUGCAGCAACGCCGCGUGAAGGAAGACGGUUUUCGGAUUGUAAACUUCUGUUCUUAGUGAAGAAAAAUGACGGUAGCUAAGGAGCAAGCCACGGCUAACUACGUGCCAGCAGCCGCGGUAAUACGUAGGUGGCAAGCGUUGUCCGGAAUUACUGGGUGUAAAGGGAGCGCAGGCGGGAAGCCAAGUCAGCUGUGAAAACUACGGGCUUAACCCUUGGACUGCUUUGGAAACUGUGCUGCUCGAGUGUCGGAG
Molecule: ribosomal RNA, 301 nt
Filed under: uncultured bacterium
Lineage: Bacteria
Description: bacterial SSU rRNA
Rfam family: Bacterial small subunit ribosomal RNA
Source: RNAcentral